UAAUACGAAGGGGGCUAGCGUUGCUCGGAAUGACUGGGCGUAAAGGGCGCGUAGGCGGUUUGUCCAGUCAGGCGUGAAAUCCCCGGGCUUAACCUGGGGGCUGCGCUUGAUACAGGCAGACUUGAGUGUGAAAGAGGGUCGUGGAAUUCCCAGUGUAGAGGUGAAAUUCGUAGAUAUUGGGAAGAACACCGGUGGCGAAGGCGGCGACCUGGUUCAUUACUGACGCUGAGGCGCGAAAGCGUGGGGAGCAAACAGGAUUAGAUACCCUGGUAGUCCACGCCGUAAACGAUGUGUGCUGGAUGUUGGGCGACCUAGUCGCUCAGUGUCGUAGCUAACGCGGUAAGCACACCGCCUGGGGAGUACGGCCGCAAGGUUG
RNAcentral lists this ribosomal RNA (376 nucleotides) under uncultured bacterium. RNAcentral describes it as "bacterial SSU rRNA". It matches the Rfam family "Bacterial small subunit ribosomal RNA", at positions 521 to 896 of the family's 1533-position model. The record is from RNAcentral.